CAGCAUCUGUCAUCUCCAGAUUUUUUAAUGAUUGCCAUUCUAAUUGGCAUGAAAUGGUAUCUCAAUGUGGCUUUGGUAUGCAUUUCUCUAAUGACCAGUGAUGGAGAGCAUUCUUUCAUAUGCGUGUUGGCUGCAAAAUGUCUUCUUUUGAGAAGUGCCUGUUCAUAUUCUU
Long non-coding RNA from Sapajus apella (tufted capuchin), 172 nucleotides. RefSeq lists it as uncharacterized. NCBI's taxonomy places the organism in Eukaryota, Metazoa, Chordata, Mammalia, Primates, Cebidae. The record is from RefSeq and is a predicted model, not a curated record. The transcript is spliced from 3 exons.